RNAcentral lists this ribosomal RNA (1041 nucleotides) under Triticum aestivum (bread wheat). RNAcentral describes it as "partial small subunit ribosomal RNA". The record is from RNAcentral. Lineage: Eukaryota; Viridiplantae; Streptophyta; Magnoliopsida; Poales; Poaceae.
AUGAAGGCAGCAUUAAAAACUAUCCUCCCACAAACUCUGCAUAAGCUGUGUCGGUGGCAUAUCAUGAAGAAGUACAAAGACCACCUCGCCUUGCUGUAUAAGGCGCAUGAGAAACUCAAGGAUGAACUCAAUGCGGUGCUGAACCACCCACUAAUGCCGUCAGAAUUUGAACAAGCAUGGAAGAACCUCAUUCAAAGGUAGAACUUGCAAGACGACAAAGUGAUGAAUUCACUAUGGGAUGACAGGCACGAGUGGAUCUCGGCUUACUACAAGGAAAUUUUCUGUGCUCGGAUGACUUCCACACAGAGAAGCGAGAGCAUGAACCGCAUACUGAAGAAAAUUUUUGUCAAGGAGAAGCAUGAUCUCCAUCUGUUUGCUCAGCAGGUGGAUAAGUGCAUUCAGACCAGGAAGGCCGUCGAGCACGCAGAGACAGUAGCAAAUGAGUCCAAGGUAAAAACAACAACCAAGUUUGGGUUCGAAGUUCAGCUAUCAAAAGUGUAUACAAGGGCAGUGUUUGCAGAUUUCAAAGAAACACUCUACCGUAGCACUGCAUUCAGAGCAGAACGGUGCCCUGAGAACCCGACAAAGUAUCUCGUACACCACUACAACAGUCAGGCAUUUGACUGGGCAAGGCAUAAUUUCCAAGUGGUCGCCGAUGAAGAGAAAGGUGUCUAUGAAUGUGAGUGCAAACUCUGGACACACACAGGGCUCUUUUGCGUCCAUGUGUUAUGCAUGCUUUCUCAUUUGAGAGUACUCAAGAUUCCUGAGGUGUACAUCAUGAAAAGAUACACCCGUAAUGCAAGAUCAGAUGCAAUGUUUGAUAGAAGAGACUACGAACAAACAGCACCAGAUGGAACCUCACUUUUUUGCCGUAGAAAAUUGCUGACAGAAACAGCAAUGGACCUUGCAAACAGAGCGAUAAGGUCGGACGUUGGGUGCCACAGAGUGUUGUCUGGUAUGAGGGCACUGAUCGAGGAAGUUGACGUGCUCAACGAAGAAGAAGAAGAAGAAGCAAAACUAAAGCAAGCAGAGAAAUCCUAG